UACAGAGGGUGCAAGCGUUAAUCGGAAUUACUGGGCGUAAAGCGCACGUAGGCGGGUUGUUAAGUCAGGGGUGAAAUCCUGGAGCUCAACUCCAGAACUGCCUUUGAUACUGGCAACCUAGAGGCUGGAAGAGGUUAGUGGAAUUCCCAGUGUAGAGGUGAAAUUCGUAGAUAUUGGGAAGAACACCAGUGGCGAAGGCGGCUAACUGGUCCAGAUCUGACGCUGAGGUGCGAAAGCGUGGGGAGCAAACAGG
This 253-nucleotide ribosomal RNA is filed under the name uncultured bacterium. RNAcentral describes it as "partial 16S ribosomal RNA". It matches the Rfam family "Bacterial small subunit ribosomal RNA", at positions 524 to 776 of the family's 1533-position model. The record is from RNAcentral.